AAGUCGUAACAAGGUUUCCGUAGGUGAACCUGCGGAAGGAUCAUUAACGUAUCUACGACGGGGCCGCGUGCCCUGCUCCGGCCCACAAAGCCGUGCAGCGGGCCGCGUCCCCGCUCGACCUUCACAAACCCACUGUGCACCUUCACGGCGGACGGGAUUCCGGCUCGCGCCGGUCCCAGAAGCCGCAUACCAUAAACUCCAACUUUAAGAAUGACCUGCGGCCUCUGCGUCGCCUAACAAACGAAACAACUUUCAACAACGGAUCUCUUGGCUCUC
Molecule: unclassified non-coding RNA, 276 nt
Filed under: air metagenome
Description: partial contains small subunit ribosomal RNA, internal transcribed spacer 1, and 5.8S ribosomal RNA
Rfam family: Eukaryotic small subunit ribosomal RNA (bases 1-46)
Source: RNAcentral